AUUAUGUCUUAAUUGAAACUACUGUUUUAAAUAAGCGCAGUUUAGAGAAAUGUACCUCUUUUUUCUCUUCAGACUGGCAGGUCGGUGACGGCAGCCAUGACAGUUCCAUCCGGGUUCCGCUCCCUUCACUGCGCGUGAGGCAGGAACUCAGAGCGGAUGAAUAUGGAUUACCUGAAAGACUCAUUAGAAGAGCAUGAAUGUCGUUUCUGAUGGACCAAGGUGCAAUUGACAAAACAAGUAUAUGCAGGUGUUCAUGACAACGGGAAUUUAAUCAAGAGCACAUUAAACCUAACAUAACAAGAACAAUAGAGCAACGUGACGAGCAAUAAACAUGAGUUUUUGAACCACACAGUUCCUCUGUAGAAGGUGGUGAGGAUGGGUGGUGGGAGGCUGGCUCUCUUCAACUUCGAUGUUUUGCCUUCUUCACAGCGGAGUUGGCGUUGAUGGACCAGGCCCAGUACUGUCGUGUCAUCAGCAAACUUGACAAUGAAGUUGGAUUCUGACUUGGCUGUGCAGUCGUGGGUGAGCAGCGUGAACAGCAGUGAACUGAGCACACAGCCUUGAGGGGCACCUGUGCUCAAUGUGAUGGUGCCUGAUGUCCUUCACCCAUACACACUGACUGUGUUCUCUCUAUCAAUGUGAUAAGACAGAGUGCAGUGUGUAGGAGAUAGCAUCAUCUGUAGAGUGGUUGGGUCGGUAUGCAAAUUGUAGUGGGUCCAGUGAAGAGGGCAAAGUGGAGUGAAUGUGUCUUUUAACCAGACGUUCCAAGCACUUCAUUGUUAUGGGAGUCAGUGCUACAGGGCGGUAAUCAUUAAGACGUCACUGUUGACUGUGGUCUUUUUGAAGCACAUAGGGACCAUAAAAUAAAUUUUAUGUUACACACUAUUAUACAAUUUUUUACACAAAG
This is a long non-coding RNA of Cyprinus carpio carpio, 907 nucleotides long. The record is from Ensembl. Lineage: Eukaryota; Metazoa; Chordata; Actinopteri; Cypriniformes; Cyprinidae.